GCCGGUAUUAGCUCGUAUCAUCACAACUAAAGCAGUAAAAACCGGAUCGUAGUAGUUUUCACGCGAUCAAUGUUGUAUUUAUCAUGUAUAGUAUUUAAACAAAAAUCCAUUCGCCUAGAAUUCUUUUAACAAUGUCGUUGUCUACAGAAGAGAGUAUUUCUUUAAUGAGCAAUCUUAUUUUAAAGGAUAAGGAUAAUAGCUUACCGAUAAAG
RNAcentral lists this long non-coding RNA (212 nucleotides) under Mytilus galloprovincialis (Mediterranean mussel). The record is from RNAcentral. Lineage: Eukaryota; Metazoa; Mollusca; Bivalvia; Mytilida; Mytilidae.